UACGUAGGUGGCAAGCGUUGUCCGGAAUUAUUGGGCGUAAAGCGCGCGCAGGCGGUCCUUUAAGUCUGAUGUGAAAGCCCACGGCUCAACCGUGGAGGGUCAUUGGAAACUGGGGGACUUGAGUGCAGAAGAGGAAAGUGGAAUUCCACGUGUAGCGGUGAAAUGCGUAGAGAUGUGGAGGAACACCAGUGGCGAAGGCGACUUUCUGGUCUGUAACUGACGCUGAGGUGCGAAAGCAUGGGGAGCAAACAGG
RNAcentral lists this ribosomal RNA (253 nucleotides) under uncultured bacterium. RNAcentral's name for it is "partial 16S ribosomal RNA". It matches the Rfam family "Bacterial small subunit ribosomal RNA", at positions 524 to 776 of the family's 1533-position model. The record is from RNAcentral.